Molecule: ribosomal RNA, 253 nt
Filed under: uncultured bacterium
Lineage: Bacteria
Description: partial 16S ribosomal RNA
Rfam family: Bacterial small subunit ribosomal RNA
Source: RNAcentral
UACGGGGGGGGCAAGCGUUGUUCGGAAUUACUGGGCGUAAAGGGCUCGUAGGCGGCCAACUAAGUCAGACGUGAAAUCCCUCGGCUUAACCGGGGAACUGCGUCUGAUACUGGAUGGCUUGAGUUUGGGAGAGGGAUGCGGAAUUCCAGGUGUAGCGGUGAAAUGCGUAGAUAUCUGGAGGAACACCGGUGGCGAAGGCGGAUCUCUGGGCCUGUUCUGACGCUGAGGCGCGAAAGCUAGGGGAGCGAACAGG